This 253-nucleotide ribosomal RNA is filed under the name uncultured bacterium. Its description in RNAcentral is "partial 16S ribosomal RNA". It matches the Rfam family "Bacterial small subunit ribosomal RNA", at positions 524 to 776 of the family's 1533-position model. The record is from RNAcentral.
UACGGAGGGGGCUAGCGUUGUUCGGAAUUACUGGGCGUAAAGCGCGCGUAGGCGGACCUGCAAGUCGGGGGUGAAAGCCCGAGGCUCAACCUCGGAACUGCCUUCGAUACUGCGGGUCUCGAGUCCGGGAGAGGGAUGUGGAAUUCCAGGUGUAGCGGUGAAAUGCGUAGAUAUCUGGAGGAAUACCGGUGGCGAAGGCGGCAUCCUGGACCGGCAUUGACGCUGAGGAGCGAAAGCCAGGGGAGCAAACGGG